This is a long non-coding RNA of Cyprinus carpio (common carp), 956 nucleotides long. The record is from Ensembl. Lineage: Eukaryota; Metazoa; Chordata; Actinopteri; Cypriniformes; Cyprinidae.
GGCGUUUUGAAUCUUCUCGUAUAGCGUCUGGCUUCCCUCACAAUCAAUCAGCUGAUGCGUGUGACGCGAGCGGCUUGGACGCGUUUUUUCUUAGCGCCCACGCGGUCGCCACUUGGUUUCAUAAAUACGUGCUAACAUUUCCAGUAUUUGUCUUUAUUAUGACGACUUUUUUGACAUAUUGCGGUCUUAGAACGAGAUGCUAACCGGACUGAAUCAUGAAUCAUGGCACCCAUCAGAGCGCGCGUGGACACCUGGACACGCGAGAACAUGCCCGGCCUCGUCUGAUUCUCAGGGCCGGGGAAAGACGGGACCAGCACUAUGGACAGCAUAUUCCCUGACCAGCUUUUCCCACAUUGUUACAUGGACAGACCGCCUGAAGUAAAGCCGAAGCGUGGUCGCUGUCAAUGCUGGAUUGUUAUAUCUCCUCAGACUUCCACAGGGUGGUGCAAGAGCUCAGUGAUGACGAGCCUCCUAGUCUUGUCAUGGACUCUCAAGCUUUUGUCUGAUUUGAAUGGAGCUGUCAGAUCAGUUCGGCCAGUUUGGAGGAUGUAGAUUGCAGAAGUUCCGUGAGGAGGAUUCCAACCUGUACUUCAGUGCUAAGUCGCCAUGGCGAUGGUGUGAGUUCUCCUGUCACCCGAGAGUGAUGGUGUAUGCUGAAAGAACGGGGGCGGAGCUUACAGACAUGCGGGUAAAGCGACGCAUCUUAUUAUUGGACAAAACUUCAUUAUGGAUUUACUAUAUAGAACUGAGUCCUCCAUUAACAUCUAGCACCUUAUCAGAGUGCACUGUAAGCAUUUUGUUUACGUCGAUAGCCAAACCAGCAACUCCUAUCAGUGUCGAAACAGCAUCAUGCAAGGGUUUUUGUCCACUGUAGUGUUUAUCACUCAUGAAUGAUUAAUUCCACAAUCAAAAGUGGAUGUUACUGAGAUAAAAUAAAUAUAAUGCAGCUGAAGACA